CUAAUUAAGGAAAUGGAACGCGCAGGUUCGCCCCCAGGUCCCACACAGGCGAUAAAGGCUGGGCAACCCCGAGUGAAGAGCAUCAGCCCCAUCGCACCUGCCUUCAAAGGGACUGUCUGGAGGUCGACUGGAGGGAUGCGGAGUGAGGAGACGCACACCUGGGGCUGAGCGUUUUAAGCCGAUGUUUUUGGAAUCAAGACUUGGAAAAAUAAAGUGCAGCUUCAAAAAAGAGAAACAUGGAAAUCUGCAAGCGACGCUUUCUUGGAAUAUCGGUUGCUAUAGCUCACGGAUUUUUUUCCGGCUCUUUAAACAUUUUACUGAAAUUUCUUAUUACGAACUACGAAUUUCACUACCUCACUCUGAUCCAGUGCCUGACCAGCGUCCUGGCAGCACUCACCUUAGAGAUCCUGCGACGCCUGGGAAAGGUGGACGUGCCGCCCUACAGCCUGCAGCUCGCCAAAGUUUUCGCAGGUGUCACCAUCCUAUCUACUCUGCAGUCCAGCCUCACCCUCUGGUCCUUGAGAGGCCUCAGUCUGCCUAUGUAUGUGAUCUUCAAGCGGUGCCUGCCUCUGGCCACCCUCAUCAUCGGAGUCUGCUUGCUAAAGAACGGCAUCCCGUCCGUCGGUGUCAUUAGCGCAGUCCUCAUCACCACAGUGGGAGCGGCGCUGGCAGGAGCUGGAGAUCUAACUGGAGAUCCCGUUGGUUACGUGACUGGAAUUCUAGCCGUCAUAAUUCAUGCAACGUAUCUGGUAAUUAUUCAAAAGGCAAGCACCGACAACGACUACGGGCCACUGACCGCACAGUACGCCAUUGCCUUUACGGCCUCUCCGUUUCUCAUCAUCUGCUCAUUUGCUAGCAUGGACUCCAUCAAUGUCUGGUCAUAUCCCCAGUGGUCCAGCCCCUUUGUGUCAUGCACGUUCAUAGCGUGUAUCUUAUUUGGCUGUGCCAUGAACUUUACCACACUCCACUGCACCUACAUCAACUCCGCAGUCACCACCAGCUUUGUUGGUGUGGUCAAAAGCAUCGCCACCAUCACCGUAGGGAUGCUAGCAUUCAACGAUGUGAAGCCCACGGCGCUGUUUAUAGCUGGCGUUGUGGUGAACACUGUGGGCUCUAUCAUUUACUGCAUUGUCAAAUAUUUUGAAACUAAAAAAAAAAGCAAGUACCAGGACCUGGAAGAAGAUGCCAAAAAGGACGACUUACCUGGUGAACCAUACAAAAUGGACAAUGGUAAUGAUGGUGAACUCACAGAGAUGACAUCCAAUGGAACUCUGCAUGAGUCUUCAAACACCAAUGGCUAUGUGCACACUCCUGCAAUGAAUGGAACUGUGGGAACCAUGGAAGUCCAAACGCAAGAGAGUGAAACUGGAGGAGAUGGCAGGAAAUCUGUGAGUGAUGCCUACAUUGGAGUUUGGCGGUCAAUUCGAAAUUUCAAGUUCAUGAAAAAAGAUCCUUUAAUAGAAAACGAGGUUCUACCAAGUCCGUGAUGUGAGGAAUGCAGAAACAUAAAUGAAAAGCAUGCUGUUGUUAGGAAUGACUCUACUGAUACAUCAACUAGCUCAUUGUCCACCGCUCAAGACAUCUUUUGUAUUGUAUUGUUAUUUCUCAGUAGCAGAAUGUGAAUUGAAAAGGUACGAUCUUUAUUCUAAUGAUCAACUGUUGCUUCUGAUGAUUGUGCACAAAUUCUAAAUCUAUCACCUUCAUUUAGAUGAAAUAACAUCGGCCAGUUUGCUAUUUAAAGUAACACGCUUACUAUAGGAAAAAGGGCUCUAAGGAGACAAGCUCUAUGUCACUUGACAGAAAGGUGAUUGCCAUCAAAUCCUAAGAGUAACACAACUGGAAGCUCAUGGAGUUUAUUGAUGUUUUCAAAUUAAAGUAUCUGAGAUAGACAUACAAACAUGAGCUUAGCAGAGAUCAGUACUGUUCCCAGCCCUAGUGAUGUGGAUUCUACUCCCUCGAUAUUUUCAGUUAAUUAGUGACUCUAAAUUAGCCCUCUGCGUGCAUGACUGAGGCUUGAACUGGUUCUUCCUUUAUGGCCAGUGUAGCUGGUACAGACUCAGGUCCACUUCAACCCUGAAUUAAAUUAAGUCCGAUAGAGUGUAUUAUUUAUGCUAUGUUAAAUGUUAUGUCAAAUGUUUUACAUUAUUUUUCUAUCUGUCUAUACUUGAAAUAUAUGAUUUACACAUUUAACUUUUAAAAUAUACUAAACUGUCAGGAUCUACGAGUUACUUUUUAAUACUCUUGCUGUAAUUUUUUGCCAGCCCAUUGUGUACUUUUGUUGAUAUUGUUGUCAGUGACAUUGAAUGCAUGGUGGAUUGCACAUUGUUACACUGGCAUGUGAUAAUGUAAGCACUAUUUUGUGUCAAGUCAACAUUUUAUUUAAUGCAAGAGGAAACUGUCUAAUACAAAUUAGGUUUAUGAACAAAAACAAGAAAACAUAUAGUUAGGAAAUACAGAAGUUACAAACAAAACAUACGAUGAAACCUAGAAGGAAAAAAGACCUAUAAAACAAAAAUGUUAAUUUUCUUCUGAUUGUUUUGUUUUUUUGAGAAAAAAUUCUGAAAACAUUUAAGGUUAGGCCAUUUAUCAUCUAAAUUAGGGUUCCAAAGAACCACAAGUUUUAUCUUUUUGACAUGUCCACGACCUUGAUCUUGAUUCCAUUCUAUUAAAACAUUUUAAUUUACAUUAAAAUGUCUGGUUUUUGCCUUGCUUUGAAUUUUUGACUAGUAAAAGUUUUGGUUAGAGAGCUCAGUACUUAAAUUCUGCCACUCAGAUGUUUUAAUAGGUAAUGCACCUAGUGACCAGAAAAGUGGCCUCAACAAAGCAUAUUGAUUCUCUUAGGUCUAACCUAAGAGAAACCGUGACACACUGGUUAGAGCACUGUUGACUCACAACUCCAGGGAUAUGGGUUCACCUUUGACCUUACCAUUUUCUUUUUUGGGUUGUGUGUGGUUGUUGUUUGGUUAAGUAAAGUAAAAGUAAAUAUAAGAGCUGAAUUUUCCAAAUGCUCACAUUUUUUCAAAUUAUUUUUGCUGUGUCCAGUGAGACACACAUUGGAAAACUGUGUAUAAGAACAAGUUACACUCCUUCUUCUGAAUCAUUGUAGUAGGCUUUCCAUAAGUCCAUGUACUACAUCUGCUUACUCCAAUUUUGUGCAUGUAGAAUGUUUCAUUUUUAAAUAUAAUUUUUCCAUACCCCCGUCCAUGGUGGUAUUAAAGUUAUAGCUACUUGAACUUUUUUGUAGUUUUUUUAAAUGUCCUUUCUCUAGCGCAUCCUGCUUUUCAAAUGGUUUAAGGUCCUUAUUUUAUUUACAUUGUCAAUUCAGUAUCUUCUCUUCAUUUUCAGAAUACAUGUUACCAGGUUACAUGUGGUACCUUAAUUCAACAUACAGUAUCAUGGGUUGCAACCAGCAACACAGUUUAAACAUAAAGACGCAUGCUAUUUAUGUACACCCACAAAUUGCAUACAUUAACCAGGUAUUUUCAAAUUACUUUUUUCUUCUCUGCACAUACCAGAAAUCCCAGUAUAGAAACCUUUAGGUAUCAUACUUAUCUUUGUAAUUGUAGAACAGUUUUGUAGAUUUUACUUAUUUUAAUUUUAUAAUGAAAGUUUUGGUGAAUUAUAUUGGAAUUCCUUUAUAUCAAAAAAUAACUGUUGAAUUUAUGUUUAUGUAUGCUUGCCUUAUCUGAAGAAUCUAUAAUAAAAUGGGAAAUUAAUGUUAUUAAAGCUGAUUUAUGGUGAUAUCCAGCCAACAUUUUGGACUGGUUACUGUAAAUAAAUUAGAUUCAAUGUGUUUGCUUGGGUCUAGUAAUGUUUUAAUUCCUCUGAUGUUGAACAUGAUAUCAGUACAGUGGCAAUAUAAAAUACAGUAUAUUCAUUUUAUCUGUUGUUUGUACAGCACUAAUAUUAUUUAACAUUUUAUAUGUAGCUGAUAAGGCUUCGGUGUUGAGUUCCUUUGGCAAGGACAACAGAACAAAUGGAAACCUUUUGCAGUACACUGUGAUUUUUGUAUUUUUAUAUUUGUACAAGAGUUUUGGACACUAUGUUGAUAUAAAACAAUAUGUACCAUCAUGAAAUCCACUCAGAGUCUGAAAAAUAUCCUCUUUAUGGACCCCCCACCUCCUUGACCUUGUAUUUGGUUCAAAAUGGCUCAGUAGACAUUGGUCAUGUUAAGUAUUGCUGCUUUCACUGUGCAACAAAAACUAUAAUGCCUUAAAUAUGAAGCACUAAGUGGAUUUCCAUAUUCUUGAUCAUGUAUGUUGAUAUUAGUAAUCAUAGUCCCUUGUCAAGCAUACGGAGGAUCUUACAUGUACUAUAUUUACCACCCUUCACUCCCCUGUUACUACUAUAUUCAUGUGCCUUGUUCCUUUUAGUAAAAUUUCUUAGUGUUGUCUGUUUCCAUGGUUUGGAACUUUGCUGCAGUCCUGAUUUGCUUCACAGACUAACUGAUAUUUCUUUUCCCCCCUCUUGUUUCUGUGCACUUUUUUCAUUAUUUUUCACAUACAUUUUUAUUUACUUUGCAACUUCUCUGGCAUGGGUGGGAAAAAUAUUUGGU
This is an RNA transcript of Erpetoichthys calabaricus (reedfish), 4555 nucleotides long. It is a transcript of the gene named solute carrier family 35 member D3, with no coding region annotated. The transcript has 3 exons. Lineage: Eukaryota; Metazoa; Chordata; Cladistia; Polypteriformes; Polypteridae. The record is from RefSeq and is a predicted model, not a curated record.